RNAcentral lists this ribosomal RNA (305 nucleotides) under uncultured bacterium. RNAcentral's name for it is "partial 16S ribosomal RNA". It matches the Rfam family "Bacterial small subunit ribosomal RNA", at positions 335 to 657 of the family's 1533-position model. The record is from RNAcentral.
UCCCUACGGGGGGCAGCAGUGGGGGAUAUUGGACAAUGGGGGGAACCCUGAUCCAGCGACGCCGCGUGGGUGAAGGAGCGUUUCGGCGCGUAAAGCCCUAUCGGCAGGGAAGAAGGAGGACGGUACCUGACUAAGAAGCCCCGGCUAACUACGUGCCAGCAGCCGCGGUAAUACGUAGGGGGCAAGCGUUAUCCGGAAUUACUGGGUGUAAAGGGAGCGUAGACGGCAAUGCAAGUCCGGAGUGGAAUGCGGCAGCUCAACUGCCGAACUGCUCUGGAAACUGUAUGGCUUGAGUGCAGGGGGGG